Molecule: long non-coding RNA, 1051 nt
Organism: Telopea speciosissima
Lineage: Eukaryota; Viridiplantae; Streptophyta; Magnoliopsida; Proteales; Proteaceae
Exons: 2
Source: RefSeq, a predicted model, not a curated record
UACUUCUUUCUCCUCCAUCGAUAAAAUGAUUUCUCUUCCAAAGACAAAAACAGCUAGAUUUCUGAAGGACUCACAUGGGCAAACAUCUAUCAACAAAAGAAAGUAUGCAUAUGUUAUGAUUAAGACCGAAUAUUUCCAACAUGUUAUCUUCAUUUCCAAACAAAUUAUGAGAAAACUUCGGUUCAUAAAAUCGUUUGUAAGUUUAUGUGUGUUUAUGCAUGCAAGAGCACGUGUGUGUGUGUGUGUGUGUGUGAGAGAGAGAGAGAGAGAGCAAAAACUGUAUAAAGCAAAAAUUGCUUCUCAGUUCUAACUUUCUAUAAAGAAGACAUGCAAAAUAACCCAUGCAUUGUGCUGCUGAGUUGAUUCUUAAGAUACUGGCAUUGGACUGAAGCCCAAAUCUCAUAAACGUAUACAUAUGCCCUUCAACCUAGAUCCCCACGAACAUUUACCCCUCAAUAUGCCUCUACUCUAACCUCAUGUCCGAAAUCUGAAAGGAACCACAAAUGUCUACCCUAUCCGUGAACCAUCCUUUGGCAACUAAAUAUCCCAAUAGUAAAACCUACAGCAAAGGUUUCCUUCAUCCAGUAGAAAUAUGUUGUUUUCAUAUUUAUUUAAGCUGUGUUUGGAUGCAUUCUCAGAAUAGAUUUGGGGUCUAGAACGCAUUCUGAACGGAGAAAAUAGAGGAGCUUCAAAAUGUGUUCUAGACCCAGGAUCUAUUCUGAGAAUGUAUACCAAACACAGCCUUAUGUUAAGGACAAUUCACAUUCCCCUUUUGCCCAGAAAUAUUGAACUAUGAUUAUAACCUUAAUGACUCCCUGUGCAUCAUGUCUGUUACAACAAAGAUGGUCUCUCUAAAGUGAUUCUUAGAGAUGUCUAAGCAAUUGAGGAUUCUUCCGAAUUAAACCCUGGGAAAAAAAAAUUAAAUUGUUAGUAGGUAAAGGUAAACACCAAGGUCUAAGGGCCCCACACUUGUUAACUGAAAAUCUUAUGCUACGAGUCCUAUAACAAAAGCAGCAGCAAGGUUUUUCCCAAUCCUCCCAACUGUAUUUAA